This 475-nucleotide ribosomal RNA is filed under the name uncultured bacterium. RNAcentral describes it as "bacterial SSU rRNA". It matches the Rfam family "Bacterial small subunit ribosomal RNA", at positions 28 to 526 of the family's 1533-position model. The record is from RNAcentral.
GACGAACGCUUGCGACGUGCCUAAGAAAUGCAAGUCGAACGAGGAGCUUCGGCUCCUAGUGGCGAACGGUCGCGUAACACGUGGGCAACCUGCCCUAAAGUGGGGGACAACAGUCCGAAAGGAUUGCUAAUACCGCAUGUGGAUCGCUGUGGCAUCACAGAGGAUCCAAAGCCGCAAGGCGCUUUAGGAUGGGCCCGCGGCCUAUCAGCUUGUUGGUGAGGUAACGGCUUACCAAGGCUACGACGGGUAGCUGGUCUGAGAGGACGGCCAGCCGGAUUGGGACUGAGAUACGGCCCAGACUCCUACGGGGGGCAGCAAUUAGGAAUCUUGCGCAAUGGGCGAAAGCCUGACGCAGCGACGUCGCGUGGGGGAUGAAGUCUUUCGGGACGUAAACCCCUUUUACCAGGGAAGAAAAAAAUGACGGUACCUGGUGAAUAAGCCCCGGCUAACUACGUGCCAGCAGCCGCGGUAAUAC